Molecule: long non-coding RNA, 404 nt
Organism: Gasterosteus aculeatus aculeatus (three-spined stickleback)
Lineage: Eukaryota; Metazoa; Chordata; Actinopteri; Perciformes; Gasterosteidae
Source: Ensembl
GUGGAUGUCUAGCAGGUCUGAUGUGAUGCAUGCUGCAUAUUCAUAACAGUGACCACAUGCAGUUAGGAGUUAGGUGUCUUGCUCAGGGACAUGGGACAUGGGGCAGCCGGGGCUCGAACCACCAACCUUGCGGUUUCCAGCGCACCCGCUCUAGUCCGUGUGCCACCGUCGCCACGUAAAGGGUUUAAAGUUUGGAAAAAUCAAAGGAACCCGGCGACGAGAAACUCCUCCCCAGCCUCGUCUGUUUUGACGUGGGAACUUUCAUGAGCGGGACACCUGCCGGCCCGAAGACAAGAAACAAGACCCGAUGAGACGGCGCGCGUCCCGGCGGAUACGGGCCGUCUGGCAGGAAGACGCGUGGGUGAAAGAUUCCCCACGCGUCACCAGGCGUUUGGCACCAGCGA